Molecule: long non-coding RNA, 894 nt
Organism: Eucalyptus grandis
Lineage: Eukaryota; Viridiplantae; Streptophyta; Magnoliopsida; Myrtales; Myrtaceae
Product: purple acid phosphatase 18
Exons: 4
Source: RefSeq, a predicted model, not a curated record
UUCUUUGCCAUGCAAAAGUUGUUGCAAUACUACAGAUGCAGUAGUGAAUCAAUUAAAUGCACUGAUUACAAAGGAGGAAGUCUGUGCUGUUAGCCAUCUGUAAAGUUAGGAUUCUGAGAUUGAGGCUGAUCUUUUAAAGGUUGAUUGCAGUAAAACUCCAUGGCUGAUCCUAUUGUUCCAUGUACCUUGGUAUUAACAGUAACUAUCCUUCUCCAAGGUGAAGGCGAUGGGAUGAAGCAAGCUAUGGAACCGUUGCUUUAUGCAGCUGGGGUGGACAUAGUAUUUGCAGAAACGUGUCAAUUCUGGACAACCGGAUCCUUGCGGUGCUGUUCACGUUUCUAUUGGCAAUGGGAGGGAACAAAAGGUUUAGCUCAUAGGCUGAUUUGGCUCCUGUGUAUCAUUAACGAUAAGAACCCCCAGCCAGAGUGGUCUGUCUUCCGCGAAGCCAACUUCGGUCACAGUAAGCUCAAGGUUGUGAAUUCAACACAUGCAUUCUGGAGCUGGCAUGGAAAUGAUGAUGACGAGCCAGUGAGGUCCGACCAUCUGCGGAUUACUUCUUUGGAGAGUUUGGGUUGCCUCGCUGAAAAGAAACAUUCCUUGAGGAAAAUUCUCAUGGCUCCUUGGUAUUGGCGGUAAGAAAUCUUGAUGCCUUGGCCUAUACAGGAUUAGUCUUAUGGUGAUGUAGCUAGGAUAGGGUGAUGCUUUAUCAAUAGGUUUUUUUUUUCCCCGGUCGGUUGUCAAUUAUUUACAUUGAGACGGUGCAAAAUUGAGUGAAUCCUGUGGGAUUCAAUAGAAAUAUAUAUUUUCUGGGAAAGUUGUGGGUGCCAGGUCUCUAUUGCGCAUGAUGGCCAUGUUAAAUGCAACCUGUACUGUCCUACAUUGUGACAAUCAACC